This is a long non-coding RNA of Canis lupus familiaris (dog), 3599 nucleotides long. RefSeq lists it as uncharacterized. The record is from RefSeq and is a predicted model, not a curated record. NCBI's taxonomy places the organism in Eukaryota, Metazoa, Chordata, Mammalia, Carnivora, Canidae. The transcript is spliced from 5 exons.
UCACAUAUGAACGUUCAUUUCAGCUCUUCAUAAGGUGUCACGGGAAGGGCCAUAACCCAGACCUAAGAAUAGUGUUAACAGGCAGUAGUUCUGUUUCUCCUCCAAGGUCAGUGCUGAGGCCCAGAAGUAAUCCGAGAGCACUCAAAGAGGAAGGAGAAUUUGGGGGAACAAAAGUAGCCAACCUAAUGGCCAGUGGACCCAUCUGAGCCAGAAAUCUCUCUACCGCACACUUUUCUCUGUUGCAUGUGUUAAGAUUUAUUUGUGAAAGAAGCUACUGUUACCUUCUUCCUCCUCUGGCAUGUGAAUCUGACCUCACUCCAUCACAAAGGCUUCUGUCACAACAUGAAGCUCUCUGUCGGGAAAUACCUUUGCAUCUGAUGGCUUUGAAAUGAAUUGCCAACAGUCAGGUGGGAAAGAGGAGAGCUGGGGCAGGUAUCUCAGCACCAAGAGACCCAGACAUCACAGAUCCCAGCAGCAUUCCAACAGGAACAGAGAGGCACUUCCAGAGUUGGGAAACAAGACUCUUCCAACUAGAAAAAAAAAUUAGUUUAAACUUUAGCUCCAAAUCACCACACUAGCUGCCCCAGAGAGUCAGCCAGGCUCUCAGUGGAAAUAACUGGUGGGCAAGGGUUAAUAUCUAUACCCUGAAAAUCUCAUCUGUCUCUGCCAUGAUGGACAGGUCCAUGUCAAGACAAGGAAUGAAUCACUGUGCUCCUGCCCCCAGAUGGCUUACUUCUUUAAGCCUCUUCUAUCACUGCAGAAAAGAUGGAUAAAUUAAGAUUUCGAAAAAGGAACUGUCAAAGCAAAUGUACGUAGAGUUUAGUGGCAGAGCCAGGAGUAGAAUCCAGGUGCCCUGACUUGGGCCUAGAACUUCUCAGCAGCACACCACCAUGGGAAGAUGGUGUGAGAAGUUUGGACCAGUAACCCUUUUUCAGGGCCAGAUCUUCUUGCCAUUCAAGUAAAGACCAGCCUUUGGUGGAAGAGGUUGUUUGACCCCUGGGGAGCUUCCACCCACCUCCGCAGGUCUGCCCACAGAAGGAAUCUACUCCACACUGGGGUUUCAUUACCAAAUUCUGGGGAGCUGUUCAUAAUGAAGACGGUGUCGAAGAAAAGAAUGGCCAGGGAGAAGGGGCUAAUGUAUUUGAAAUUCUAAUUCUGAAAGAUGAGAAAAAGGGAAUUAUGAGAGAAUGGUAAUCCUAACGAACAAUAUUGUCUAGAGGCAACUGUUAGACAUGAGUCUAGGUCCCUUUCAUAGGCCGAGUUCUGAGAUUGGAAGUGAAAUCCUUCCCAAAUCUGGAGACCUUCUUGUAUGAGUUGGGAGACGGACAGUCAGACUGCGAUCCUAAAGUCUGGCUCACAGAAGGACUUGGGAGUUGAGCGGAAAGUGUGAAAUCCUACAAUAACUGUAUCAUUGUGCCAGACAGAGCCUCCUUUGUCUCUGUAAGCUAUCUGACUUUCCCAUAGGGUUCCUUUCCCCAAACAUGCCUCAAAUUGUGUUGCUUAAUGAAAAAUGCUGCUCAGGACAAGGUAGUUUUCACCAACGGUCAUACAUGGUGGACAUUCUAGUAAUUCUAGUCCUAUGGGAGAGCAGGCGGGGCUUAGGCAGCUUGGGAAAAUGAGUUCUGAGAGUGGCACCCAGAAAACUGCCCGGCUGGUGGGGCAGAGAGAACGGGUCAUAUGUCAGCCCAUGUCCUCUGCAAGCCUCUCCAAUGCAUCUUGAAAAUGCCACGGCCCCUGAAACCCAUGCAAUUGUUUUGCUUCUGGUCUAAGUAUAAAUCUUUUAAUUGCGUGUCCUAAGCCUUGAGACAUUUAUGUGGAAUUGUUUUGGGGGGAAAAAAAGAAAGGAAGGAAGAAAGGAAGGAAGGAAGAAACUUGCUGGCAGUCAAGCGAUCUGCAUUUCAUUUCAAUUUAGAUAGUUUUGCUAUACAGUUUUUUCCCAAGGUUUCCUGGAUUUCAAUAAUAUAUCUUUCAUCACCAGAUCACCAAAAACUGGUUGUGUUGAGCUGUCCCUGGGGCUUUGGAGUGCAUAUCAGGGAUUACUUUAUAAGUGGGAACUUAUGAAUUGUAUUGGGUUUACAAAUGACUUGUUUUUCUCAGUUUAAUGGUCAAACCAUGAAACCGAUAACUUAUUCCUGGAAGGGUAUGUGUAUGAUAUGUUAAUGGGUCUUUGAGAACGGGAUUAAAAUGCAAUCAACACAUACACACACACACACACACACACAAACCCCAAGUUUUAAAUAAGACAUUUACUGAGUAGAUAAGCUCUGACUGCUAUGAAAUGCCGGCUUAAAGUGUCCAUUUUAAUGUGUUCAUACAUCUCUCUACCCUUGACCAACUGCUCUAAGAACAUUGGGGCUGACUUAUAAAAACUCUUGGCAGCAAUCAUUUAACCUUGCAACCCGAGCAAGGCAUUGUGCACCUCAGUGGACUUCUGGCAGGAACCAACAGCAAGUGGAGAAGCCCUGAGUUCCAGUGCUCGCUGACCUGUAUGGUGGAAGUUGCUGGGUGCUGAAGGUGGUGGGUACGGAAGGACAAGUGAGCAUGGCACCUUUCUGAGCACAUCAGUUUUAUUUCCCAACAGUCUGAUGGCUGUAGCAGGGCAGGGGGGGCCGAUAGGUGUGUGUGUGUGGGGGGGGGAGUUUCUACAAAAGACAAGUUUGGAUUUCCACUUUAUAGGAAUGAAGGAUCCUGUGCUUGCCAAAUUGCAAAGGCAUAGAAAUAUCCCAGGCGGGGAGCAGGGAAUUCAGCUGCAGCCUUUGGAGUGGAGGUGAUUUAUGGCAGGCCAAAGGAAGAGUCCAGGUCCACACAGUGAGGGAGGUGGGAAUUGAGAAGGCAGACCAGGAAAAUGUUAAGAAGCACUGAAAUUUUCCUGCCUGUCCAAACGCUGUCUCAGUAUAACAUUGUGGGGAGUUGGGUGUAAAUGAAUCAGAAACAUAUGGAUUAAACUUCCCUCCAUGGGUGGAGGGGGGGAUGGUGGGAAAUAAUGAUUGUCAAACUGGGGGUGUGGAUGAUUCUAAUGUGAACCCACUUGAAGAAUCUCCCAGCUGACUGACAGAUGAACGUUCUCCUCAUGAUGGCCUCUCUCCAGUUUUGGAGGACACUUACACUGAAAGCUGAUAGUCAAAACUGCCUCUUUAAUUCCCAAGAUGAUAGAUGUUCUGGUGUUCACUGCGUAUCCCUUCCUGUACCCUCCACCUCCAAGGCCACCUCCAAACUGUAAGUAAGGUCUUUCCAUUGCCUUCCUAGGACACCCCUUGGCUGCCACUGCUCUUCCCCUUUCAGGUUUGGUGGCUUUUUAGCCCAGUGAUUUUACUGGUAAUUCCCUUCCCACCCCCACCCCCACAAAGAUAUAGAUUAAGAAUGCGUAUUGUUUAAAGUUGUAGCAUCAUUUCCCUGCCACAUGCAUUCUACGUGUGACAAUUUUGGUUAAUGUUAAAAACAAUAGGGGCACCUGGGUGGCUGGGGCACCUGAAUAACUCAAUGGUUGGGCCUCUGCCAUCGGCCCAGGGCAUGAUCCCGGGGUCCUUGGAUCAGUCCCACAUUGGACUCCCUGCAUGGAGCCUGCUUCUCCCUUUGCCUGUGUCUCUGCCUCUCUCUCU